RNAcentral lists this long non-coding RNA (1603 nucleotides) under Mytilus galloprovincialis (Mediterranean mussel). Lineage: Eukaryota; Metazoa; Mollusca; Bivalvia; Mytilida; Mytilidae. The record is from RNAcentral.
CAGAAACCUAUGCUGUGUCAACUAUUUAAUCACAAUCCAAAUUUAGAGCUGAAUCCAGCUUGAAUGUUGUGUCCAUACUUGCCCUAACCGUUCAGGGUUCAACCUCUGCGGUCGUAUAAAGCUACGCCCUGCGGAGCAUCUGGUUGAUUCUAAUAUUAUAACUGUUUGACAUGGCGGUGUUAACCUAUUAGAUUAAUGAAUAGGAAUUUGAAAUAAGUCGAUAUGAGAAAAAGUACUUGCUUGGUCUCUAAAACUAAUGAAAUAUUAAAAGCACUGAAUGACAAGCUGUAACACUCAUGGUCACUCCUGGUACUCAGUUGAAAAAUAUCAAUUGUAGCGUACAAGUGAGGGCAUUUAAUCAUUUAUUUCAUGAUUCAGAUACAUUAUUACUCAAUAGAUUUAUUUAUUUUGUAAAUAUAGUUAUAUCAAUUACAUUGUAAUGUUUGUCUUUAACUUCGUACUAACACAAACAUAAAUAUCUUGAACAAAGGGCAGCAAUACUAUCAUUAUACAUAGCCAUAGUAUAAACAAAGCUUAAAGAACGAUUUUUGAUUGAUUUGUUGAUUGAUUGAUGAUAAAAAAAAUACAAGUGUUUUGUUAGAUAUGAAUACGACAUUCCGUUAUUACAUACAUUCCAAAGAUAUAUUAUAUACAUAAUAUAUGUUUGUGUUGCUAUAGUAUGUAACUGAUAUAUGUCAAAAUUACAUAGAUUGUCGAAACAUAGGUAUACGAAAAUCAAUAAUUUAGAUUAAAGUGUCAGCUUGGUUGACAAGACAAAAUUAUGAGUGACCAAUUAAAAUGUUGUGGUCAGUUACGAAAUUAUGUAACGAGAAUUUUCAUUGGUAAAACGAAGAAAACCUGGGAUCUCUUAUCACGUGAGCAACGACCUUUUUAAGCUAGUGUUUUUAUACGACAUAACUACUGCUUUGUAAUAAAGAAAUCGUUCAUUAUUAUAAACUUAAAAGAGACAUUGAAGAAUUAAUAAUCUUGCUUCACAUGGUUUCUUUUUCCAGAAACUCCUUCUCACUUUGCCCUGUCAAUGUGUGAUGUCAAAUUUUAAAAGCCAUGUCAUUUGUGAUAAGUAUGAAAUAGUUCUUUGUAAUUGUUUUUUUUUUAAAUUUCAAAAUCCUUCCACGUGAAACAAAACUCUUGCAAGGAAAAUAUGUUUCUUAGUGUAUCAUUUAUAUAUAUGCUUUCACAAAACAAUUUGGUUAGAAAAGUAAAGUCAAGUAAAUUUUGAUGGCAUCUUGUUAUUUAUAAUUUCCUCUAAUAAAUGUCUACGAUUUCGUCAGUCCGAAUUAAAACUUUUGAUAAUUAUCACUUGAAAAAAGUGUUGUAAAUUAAUUAUACCUUGCUAGAUUUUUUCUUUAAACAAUACUUAAGCUUUAUAUUUGACAUGCCUUUCGGCUUUGUUGAUAUACCCCAGUUUUUGAACUACAGAAAAAUGAAAAACUGCACAUAUUCAAAUGUAUUUUUAUUCAAAUAAUGCAGAUUUAUGAAUAUAGGAAAAAACAAGAUGAUUGAAGUAACGUGUACAUAAUAUAUCAAAUCUUUGUAAUUGUGUAUAUUUUGUAUGAUUGUCUCGAAGUGUAUAUAAUUCUAG